UACGUAGGGCGCAAGCGUUGUCCGGAAUUAUUGGGCGUAAAGAGCUCGUAGGCGGUCUGUCGCGUCUGGUGUGAAAACUCGAGGCUCAACCUCGAGCUUGCAUCGGGUACGGGCAGACUAGAGUGCGGUAGGGGAGACUGGAAUUCCUGGUGUAGCGGUGGAAUGCGCAGAUAUCAGGAGGAACACCGAUGGCGAAGGCAGGUCUCUGGGCCGCAACUGACGCUGAGGAGCGAAAGCAUGGGGAGCGAACAGGA
RNAcentral lists this ribosomal RNA (254 nucleotides) under uncultured prokaryote. Its description in RNAcentral is "partial 16S ribosomal RNA". It matches the Rfam family "Bacterial small subunit ribosomal RNA", at positions 524 to 777 of the family's 1533-position model. The record is from RNAcentral.